GAAUACUACAGCCAAGGGCUGACAUCUUUUUUUUAGGGAAAAAUAGCAGCCCCAUAAUUAUCCACGCAUUGGUCCCCCACCACGUGACGGCCAGGCCAAUGAGGAUUGAAAAUGGCCUUGAUGAUUCAGACGCCGAUGACGUCACAAGGGUCAAGUUGUUGCGAGCGGAGAAAACUAGCAUAGAGCAACAGCGACAUCUAUCAGUCUCUGCCGGGUAGGGUGUCCGGGACCUUCACUUUGAACAAAGGAGAAAAGCCCCCCGGUUUGCGGGAGUUUGUUUACCAAUGAACCAACGCGUGUCUACAGCAGAGCGGGGGGAAACCAAAAAAAAAAAAAAAAAAAGGGAAGCGAAAGCGCAAAUACAAGCAAAGUCAAAUCCAAAUAAAAAGACCCAGAAGCCUUUAUAGAAUCUGGAGCAAAUGUCGUAUCGGUGCGUGCUGUUGGAAACAGAAGAUCUACCGUGGAAACCUCAUAUUUUAAGAAUGUCUAAAUGUUGUGUAUAUAAAAUAAAGAUUGACAUUGUUAACUCA
Molecule: long non-coding RNA, 530 nt
Organism: Chrysemys picta bellii (western painted turtle)
Lineage: Eukaryota; Metazoa; Chordata; Testudines; Emydidae
Source: RefSeq, a predicted model, not a curated record